Molecule: ribosomal RNA, 253 nt
Filed under: uncultured bacterium
Lineage: Bacteria
Description: partial 16S ribosomal RNA
Rfam family: Bacterial small subunit ribosomal RNA
Source: RNAcentral
UACGUAGGCAGCGAGCGUUGUUCGGAGUUACUGGGCGUAAAGGGUGUGUAGGCGGUUCUUUAAGUUUGGUGUGAAAUCUCCCGGCUCAACCGGGAGGGUGCGCUGAAUACUGAGGGACUAGAGUACGGGAGAGGAAAGUGGAAUUCCUGGUGUAGCGGUGAAAUGCGUAGAUAUCAGGAGGAACACCGGUGGUGUAGACGGCUUUCUGGACCGUAACUGACGCUGAGACACGAAAGCGUGGGUAGCAAACAGG